RNAcentral lists this ribosomal RNA (430 nucleotides) under uncultured bacterium. RNAcentral's name for it is "bacterial SSU rRNA". It matches the Rfam family "Bacterial small subunit ribosomal RNA", at positions 355 to 776 of the family's 1533-position model. The record is from RNAcentral.
UGAGGAAUAUUGCGCAAUGGGGGAAACCCUGACGCAGCGACGCCGCGUGGGUGAUGAAGGCCCUUGGGUCGUAAAGCCCUGUCAAGUGGGAAGAAGUGGCAGCGGGUUAAUACCCCGUUGUUUUGACGGUACCACUAAAGGAAGCACCGGCUAACUCCGCGCCAGCAGCCGCGGUAAUACGGAGGGUGCGAGCGUUGUUCGGAAUUACUGGGCGUAAAGAGCGCGUAGGCGGCCAGGUAAGUCAGAUGUGAAAGCCCACGGCUCAACCGUGGAAGUGCAUCUGAAACUGCUAGGCUUGAGUAUGGGAGGGGAAAGUGGAAUUCCUGGUGUAGAGGUGAAAUUCGUAGAUAUCAGGAGGAACACCGGUGGCGAAGGCGACUUUCUGGACCAAUACUGACGCUGAGGCGCGAAAGCGUGGGGAGCAAACAGG